This 252-nucleotide ribosomal RNA is filed under the name uncultured bacterium. RNAcentral describes it as "partial 16S ribosomal RNA". It matches the Rfam family "Bacterial small subunit ribosomal RNA", at positions 524 to 776 of the family's 1533-position model. The record is from RNAcentral.
UACGUAGGUCCCGAGCGUUGUCCAGAUUUAUUGGGCGUAAAGCGAGCGCAGGUGGUUUAUUAAGUCUGGUGUAAAAGGCAGUGGCUCAACCAUUGUAUGCAUUGGAAACUGGUAGACUUGAGUGCAGGAGAGGAGAGUGGAAUUCCAUGUGUAGCGGUGAAAUGCGUAGAUAUAUGGAGGAACACCGGUGGCGAAAGCGGCUCUCUGGCCUGUAACUGACACUAAGGCUCGAAAGCGUGGGGAGCAAACAGG